GAACUUUGAGCUACAUUUCUAUACCAUUUGCCUAAAACAAGGUAUAGUGUAAUAAGUCAAGAAAUACGAACGUAUGG
RNAcentral lists this transfer RNA (77 nucleotides) under Bacillus subtilis subsp. subtilis str. BSP1. RNAcentral describes it as "tRNA-Met". The record is from RNAcentral. Lineage: Bacteria; Bacillati; Bacillota; Bacilli; Caryophanales; Bacillaceae.